This is a long non-coding RNA of Dermochelys coriacea (leatherback sea turtle), 955 nucleotides long. RefSeq lists it as uncharacterized. The record is from RefSeq and is a predicted model, not a curated record. The transcript has 2 exons. NCBI's taxonomy places the organism in Eukaryota, Metazoa, Chordata, Testudines, Dermochelyidae.
GAGACUCUUCAUGUGAGUUAAUCUAAGCAUGUGCACAUAUACUUGAAAAAUUGGCCCCCAUUUUCCUGUAAAUGAACUGCAUUGGAGUUUGUUUUUUUUCCCUUACUUACUACUACAUAGCUGAGAUGAACCAAUAUGCCAACUGACAAGGUAUUCCAUAGACGAAACAUGGAGGAAGUCUUGCACCUGAAGAUUCUCCCAACAGUAUGUUAUGAACAAUGCAUUAUGUGCCAACAAAUAAAAAAGGACACCGUUUUUGCUUCUAAUGAACAGAAACUGGCUACAACACAAGACAGAAACUCAGGGAUUUCCAAAAUAUGGAUGCAAUUGAUAGAAGAAUUCUAAUAGCUCUUCAAUCUGAAUGUAGGCAACCAUUACUUUGACAUAAAAUCUGUUAUGCAAUGUACACAGAUAAUGGUAAAAUUAGCAGAAUUCAUAAAUUGAUCUGAAGGAACUUUAAUCAACUGGUAAGGGGGAACUCCAAACCCAGUCUUGUGCUACAAUCACCAAAAUCUUGACAGUGUUUUGGAGCAAGAUCCCAUAACGAACUGGAGUCUUUUCAUUUUCUGCCAGGAUUGAAGUUUCAAACAAGUACUUUCUUCAGGAACAACACUCACAAUGAACAAAUACUUGAGACAACAGAAUAUUGUUGAGCUUAGUGUACGUGUAGCUGAUGUUAGUGACCCUAUAGCCUCAGAAGGGAAAUACCACACUAAUCAUUAUAAAUAUUUCUUGAGAAAAGGAACAAAAAUUAAGCAUGAACCACUCAUAGUAGUACUGACAUGACAUGAUCUGGCUUUGUAAUGAGUUAAACAUUGUGCAGAAGAAGUCAGUGUUUUGGAACUUUCAUAGUAAUGGAGUCAUUGUUUUCUCACAAAUGAAUGUGAAACAUCUCCCCCAGUUGCAUUUGAGAAUGUUGUGGCAACGUUCAAUAAAAAUUUAUUCCACAUCUUGA